RNAcentral lists this small nucleolar RNA (132 nucleotides) under Dasypus novemcinctus (nine-banded armadillo). RNAcentral's name for it is "Small nucleolar RNA SNORA84 (ENSDNOG00000027525.1)". It matches the Rfam family "Small nucleolar RNA SNORA84". Lineage: Eukaryota; Metazoa; Chordata; Mammalia; Cingulata; Dasypodidae. The record is from RNAcentral.
UCCCCGUGGUGCUGGAUGUUGUUGUGCAGAUACAGCUCUCCAAUGCAUGGCUGUGGGCCAGAGCAAUCCUGUGGUUUAUGUGUGGGGGCCGCUUCUCCUCAGCAGGCCCACAGCCCGGCCACUGGCAUGUGG